AACGAACGCUGGCGGCGUGCCUAACACAUGCAAGUCGUGCGAGAAAGUUCCUUCGGGAGCGAGUAAAGCGGCGCACGGGUGAGUAACACGUAGGUAACCUGCCCCCCAGUCUGGAACAACUAGAGGAAACUCUAGCUAAUGCCGGAUGAGACCACGAUCCCUUCGGGGGUUGCGGCCAAAGAUGGCCUCUACUUGUAAGCUAUCGCUGAGGGAUGGGCCUGCGGGCCAUUAGCUUGUUGGUGAGGUAACGGCUCACCAAGGCUGUGAUGGCUAGCUGGUCUGAGAGGAUGACCAGCCACACUGGGACUGAGACACGGCCCAGACUCCUACGGAGCAGCAGUGGGGAAUAUUGCGCAAUGGGACGAAAGCCUGACGCAGCGACGCCGCGU
Molecule: ribosomal RNA, 389 nt
Filed under: uncultured bacterium
Lineage: Bacteria
Description: bacterial SSU rRNA
Rfam family: Bacterial small subunit ribosomal RNA
Source: RNAcentral